Molecule: ribosomal RNA, 492 nt
Filed under: uncultured bacterium
Lineage: Bacteria
Description: partial 16S ribosomal RNA
Rfam family: Bacterial small subunit ribosomal RNA
Source: RNAcentral
AGUGAACGCUGGCGGUAGGCCUAACACAUGCAAGUCGAACGGCAGCACAGUAAGAGCUUGCUCUUACGGGUGGCGAGUGGCGGACGGGUGAGGAAUACAUCGGAAUCUACUUUUUCGUGGGGGAUAACGUAGGGAAACUUACGCUAAUACCGCAUACGACCUACGGGUGAAAGCAGGUGAUCUUCGGACCUUGCGCGAUUGAAUGAGCCGAUGUCGGAUUAGCUAGUUGGCGGGGUAAAGGCCCACCAAGGCGACGAUCCGUAGCUGGUCUGAGAGGAUGGUCAGCCACACUGGAACUGAGACACGGUCCAGACUCCUACGGGAGGCAGCAGUGGGGAAUAUUGGACAAUGGGCGCAAGCCUGAUCCAGCCAUACCGCGUGGGUGAAGAAGGCCUUCGGGUUGUAAAGCCCUUUUGUUGGGAAAGAAAAGCAGCAGGUUAAUACCCCGCUGUUCUGACGGUACCCAAAGAAUAAGCACCGGCUAACUUCGUG